Nicotiana attenuata is the source of this 96-nucleotide microRNA precursor. It matches the Rfam family "MIR6152 microRNA precursor family". NCBI's taxonomy places the organism in Eukaryota, Viridiplantae, Streptophyta, Magnoliopsida, Solanales, Solanaceae. The record is from Rfam.
UGGACAGAUUAUUGUAUUCGACUGUAUUUACGUCGCGAAACAGGGGAUUACACUGUUUUUAAACGGAAAGUGAAUCAAUUAAUAUAAUAGACUCCU